RNAcentral lists this ribosomal RNA (606 nucleotides) under uncultured bacterium. Its description in RNAcentral is "bacterial SSU rRNA". It matches the Rfam family "Bacterial small subunit ribosomal RNA", at positions 338 to 1414 of the family's 1533-position model. The record is from RNAcentral.
CCUACGGGAGGCAGCAGUGGGGAAUUUUCCGCAAUGGGCGAAAGCCUGACGGAGCAACGCCGCGUGAGGGAUGAAGGCCUCUGGGCUGUAAACCUCUUUUAUCAAGGAAGAAGAUCUGACGGUACUUGAUGAAUAAGCCACGGCUAAUUCCGUGCCAGCAGCCGCGGUAAUACGGGAGUGGCAAGCGUUAUCCGGAAUUAUUGGGCGUAAAGCGUCCGCAGGCGGUCUUGUAAGUCUGUCGUUAAAGCGUGGAGCUUAACUCCAUUUCGGCGGUGGAAACUACAAGACUAGAGUGUGGUAGGGGCAGAGGGAAUUCCCGGUGUAGCGGUGAGAUGCGUAGAUAUCGGGAAGAACACCAGUGGCGAAGGCGCUCUGCUGGGCCAUAACUGACGCUCAUGGACGAAAGCUAGGGGAGCGAAAGGGAUUAGAUACCCCUGUAGUCCUAGCCGUAAACGAUGAACACUAGGUGUCGGGGGAAUCGACCCCCUCGGUGUCGUAGCUAACGCGUUAAGUGUUCCGCCUGGGGAGUACGCNCGCAGUGUGAACGUUAAAGGUAAGUUAGACGGCGUGAGACGUGCCGAACGGACGACCGACGAGGGAGGUAGG